This 321-nucleotide ribosomal RNA is filed under the name uncultured eukaryote. Its description in RNAcentral is "partial 18S ribosomal RNA". It matches the Rfam family "Eukaryotic small subunit ribosomal RNA", at positions 1470 to 1796 of the family's 1831-position model. The record is from RNAcentral.
CCCUUAGAUGUCCUGGGCUGCACGCGCGCUACACUGACACGUUCAACGAGUUUUGCCUGCUCCGAUGGGACUGGGUAAUCUUAUGAAAGCGUGUCGUGAUGGGGAUAGAUUAUUGCAAUUAUUAAUCUUCAACGAGGAAUUCCUAGUAAGUACAAGUCAUCAGCUUGUGCUGAUUACGUCCCUGCCCUUUGUACACACCGCCCGUCGCUCCUACCGAUUGGGUGAUCCGGUGAAUAACUCGGACUGCAGCUAUUCGGGAGACCGUUAGCUUGUGGAAAGUUUAGUAAAUCUUAUCACUUAGAGGAGGGAGAAGUCGUAACA